GACGAACGCUGGCGGCGUGCUUAACACAUGCAAGUCGAACGAUGAUGCCAGCUUGCUGGUGGAUUAGUGGCGAACGGGUGAGUAACACGUGAGCAACCUGCCCCUGACUUCGGGAUAACCGCGGGAAACCGUGGCUAAUACCGGAUAUGACGCGCUAUCGCAUGGUGGUGUGUGGAAAGAUUUAUCGGUUGGGGAUGGGCUCGCGGCCUAUCAGCUUGUUGGUGGGGUGAUGGCCUACCAAGGCGACGACGGGUAGCCGGCCUGAGAGGGUGACCGGCCACACUGGGACUGAGACACGGCCCAGACUCCUACGGGAGGCAGCAGUGGGGAAUAUGGCACAAUGGGCGCAAGCCUGAUGCAGCGACGCCGCGUGAGGGAUGACGGCCUUCGGGUUGUAAACCUCGUUCAGUAGGGAAGAAGGCCUUCGGGUUGACGGUACCUGCAGAAGAAGCGCCGGCUAACUACGUG
RNAcentral lists this ribosomal RNA (468 nucleotides) under uncultured bacterium. RNAcentral describes it as "partial 16S ribosomal RNA". It matches the Rfam family "Bacterial small subunit ribosomal RNA", at positions 28 to 507 of the family's 1533-position model. The record is from RNAcentral.